RNAcentral lists this ribosomal RNA (253 nucleotides) under uncultured bacterium. Its description in RNAcentral is "partial 16S ribosomal RNA". It matches the Rfam family "Bacterial small subunit ribosomal RNA", at positions 524 to 776 of the family's 1533-position model. The record is from RNAcentral.
UACGUAGGGGGCAAGCGUUGUCCGGAUUUAUUGGGCGUAAAGGGUGCGUAGGCGGCGCGGUAAGUCGGGUGUGAAAUCUCGGAGCUUAACUCCGAAACUGCAUUCGAUACUGCCGUGCUUGAGGACUGGAGAGGAGACUGGAAUUUACGGUGUAGCGGUGAAAUGCGUAGAUAUCGUAAGGAAGACCAGUGGCGAAGGCGGGUCUCUGGACAGUUCCUGACGCUGAGGCACGAAGGCCAGGGGAGCAAACGGG